GAAGUUGUUCAGAAUGUUGAGGAUGAUUCUGGACAUCAGGAAUGUGUCAUGGAAGAAGCUGCUGCUCAGAUAGUUGUUUUUGAGAUUCAACAAGUUGAAGCUUCUGUUCCUUAACAAUUUGCUGGAACUUCAUUCGGAGAUAUUCCUGAUGAGCUUCGGAAGACCAUUGAGGAAAUCCAAGCUGAUAAUACAUUGGUCAAAGAGCGUAUGGAC
This 213-nucleotide long non-coding RNA is filed under the name Lathyrus oleraceus (garden pea). RNAcentral's name for it is "Pisum sativum (pea) long non-coding RNA (PSAT_LNC016843)". The record is from RNAcentral. Lineage: Eukaryota; Viridiplantae; Streptophyta; Magnoliopsida; Fabales; Fabaceae.